GAUGAACGCUGGCGGCGUGCCUAAUACAUGCAAGUCGAGCGAACAGACGAGGAGCUUGCUCCUCUGACGUUAGCGGCGGACGGGUGAGUAACACGUGGAUAACCUACCUAUAAGACUGGGAUAACUUCGGGAAACCGGAGCUAAUACCGGAUAAUAUAUUGAACCGCAUGGUUCAAUAGUGAAAGACGGUUUUGCUGUCACUUAUAGAUGGAUCCGCGCCGCAUUAGCUAGUUGGUAAGGUAACGGCUUACCAAGGCAACGAUGCGUAGCCGACCUGAGAGGGGGAUCGGCAAAAUGGGAAGAGAGAAAGGGUCCAAACCCCAAGGGGAGGCAGAAGUAGGGAAUUUUCCGAAAGGGGCGAAAGCCUGACGGAGAAACGCGGGGGGAGUGAUGAAGGGUUUCGGAUCGAAAAACUUUUUUAUUAGGGAAAAAAAAAUGUGUAAGUAAAGAUGCAGGUUUUGAGGGGACCAAAUAAAAAAGCCACGGAAAACUACGU
RNAcentral lists this ribosomal RNA (496 nucleotides) under uncultured bacterium. Its description in RNAcentral is "partial 16S ribosomal RNA". It matches the Rfam family "Bacterial small subunit ribosomal RNA", at positions 28 to 506 of the family's 1533-position model. The record is from RNAcentral.